UACGUAGGGUGCGAGCGUUGUCCGGAAUUAUUGGGCGUAAAGAGCUCGUAGGCGGUUUGUCGCGUCGACUGUGAAAACCCGAGGCUUAACCUCGGGCCUGCAGUCGAUACGGGCAGACUAGAGUUCGGUAGGGGAGACUGGAAUUCCUGGUGUAGCGGUGAAAUGCGCAGAUAUCAGGAGGAACACCGGUGGCGAAGGCGGGUCUCUGGGCAGUAACUGACGCUGAGGAGCGAAAGCGUGGGGAGCAAACAGG
This 253-nucleotide ribosomal RNA is filed under the name uncultured bacterium. RNAcentral's name for it is "partial 16S ribosomal RNA". It matches the Rfam family "Bacterial small subunit ribosomal RNA", at positions 524 to 776 of the family's 1533-position model. The record is from RNAcentral.